AGACAUGCAGUCGAACGAACUUAAUACCUUGCUUGCAAGGUAAGCGGUUAGUGGCGCACUGGUGAGUAACACGUAAGAAAUCUGCCUAUCAGAGGGGAAUAACAGUGAGAAAUCAUUGCUAAUACCGCAUAUGCCAUAGUUAUCGCAUGAUAAUAGUGGGAAAGGAGUAAUCCGCUGAUAGAUGAGCUUGCGUCUGAUUAGCUAGUUGGUGGGGUAAAGGCCUACCAAGGCGACGAUCAGUAGCCGGACUGAGAGGUUGAACGGCCACAUUGGGACUGAGAUACGGCCCAGACUCCUACGGGAGGCAGCAGUCGGGAAUAUUGCGCAAUGGAGGGAACUCUGACGCAGUGACGCCGCGUAUAGGAAGAAGGUUUUCGGAUUGUAAACUAUUGUCCACAGGGAAGAAAAAAGACUGUACCUGUGAAGAAAGCUCCGGCUAACUACGUGCCAGCAGCCGCGGUAAUACGUAGGGAGCAAGCGUUAUCCGGAAUUAUUGGGUGUAAAGGGUGCGUAGACGGGAUAACAAGUUAGUUGUGAAACCCCUCGGCUCAACUGAGGAACUGCAACUAAAACUAUUAUUCUUGAGUGCAGGAGAGGAAAGUGGAAUUCCUAGUGUAGCGGUGAAAUGCGUAGAUAUUAGGAAGAACGCCGGUGGCGAAGGCGACUUUCUGGACUGUAACUGACGUUGAGGCACGAAAGUGUGGGGAGCAAACAGGAUUAGAUACCCUGGUAGUCCAUGCCGUAAACGAUGAGUGCUAAGUGUUGGGAGGUUUCCGCCUCUCAGUGCUGCAGCUAACGCAUUAAGCACUCCGCCUGGGGAGUACGACCGCAAGGUUGAAACUCAAAGGAAUUGACGGGGGCCCGCACAAGCGGUGGAGCAUGUGGUUUAAUUCGAAGCAACGCGAAGAACCUUACCAGGUCUUGACAUCUAGUGCCAUCCUAAGAGAUUAGAGUUCCCUUCGGGACGCUAAGACAGGUGGUGCAUGGCUGUCGUCAGCUC
Molecule: ribosomal RNA, 1000 nt
Filed under: uncultured bacterium
Lineage: Bacteria
Description: bacterial SSU rRNA
Rfam family: Bacterial small subunit ribosomal RNA
Source: RNAcentral